This 428-nucleotide ribosomal RNA is filed under the name uncultured bacterium. RNAcentral describes it as "bacterial SSU rRNA". It matches the Rfam family "Bacterial small subunit ribosomal RNA", at positions 28 to 481 of the family's 1533-position model. The record is from RNAcentral.
GACGAACGCUGGCGGCGUGCCUAACACAUGCAAGUCGAACGGGUCCCGCAAGGGAUCAGUGGCGAACGGGUGCGUAACACGUGAGGAACUUGCCUAUCGGCGGGGGAUAGCCGGCCCAACGGCCGGGUAAUACCGCGUACGACCUUUGGGGGGCAUCCCCUGGAGGUGAAAGCAGCAAUGCACCGAUAGAGAGCCUCGCGGCCUAUCAGCUAGUUGGUGAGGUCACGGCUCACCAAGGCGACGACGGGUAGCUGGUCUGAGAGGAUGAUCAGCCACAUUGGGACUGAGACACGGCCCAGACUCCUACGGGAGGCAGCAGUGGGGAAUAUUGGACAAUGGGCGCAAGCCUGAUCCAGCCAUGCCGCGUGAGUGAUGAAGGCCCUAGGGUUGUAAAGCUCUUUUGUGCGGGAAGAUAAUGACGGUACCGC